RNAcentral lists this ribosomal RNA (201 nucleotides) under Klebsiella aerogenes. RNAcentral's name for it is "partial 23S ribosomal RNA". It matches the Rfam family "Bacterial large subunit ribosomal RNA", at positions 2135 to 2335 of the family's 2925-position model. Lineage: Bacteria; Pseudomonadati; Pseudomonadota; Gammaproteobacteria; Enterobacterales; Enterobacteriaceae. The record is from RNAcentral.
UGUGUAGGAUAGGUGGGAGGCUUUGAAGCGUGGACGCCAGUCUGCGUGGAGCCAACCUUGAAAUACCACCCUUUAAUGUUUGAUGUUCUAACGUGGACCCGUAAUCCGGGUUGCGGACAGUGUCUGGUGGGUAGUUUGACUGGGGCGGUCUCCUCCCAAAGAGUAACGGAGGAGCACGAAGGUUAGCUAAUCCUGGUCGGA